GUUGAGUUCCACUGUUGCCUAGUCUCCUUUCUGACUUGACCGUCGGAGGGUCCCCGUCGGAGGCAUCUUUGAUCAGUAAGAAUUUUUCUUGCAGGUGCACGACUCUGACGAUCGGACGAUGAAAAAAUUGACCGUAACACAAUCAAAUCUUGAAGUAGCCUUAGAGUUGAUAGACUACUGCGUUUUUGAUAACUCAUGCUAAAAACUAUAGUUAAACCAACCAAUUUGCCAAAAGAAGAAAAAUACU
This 247-nucleotide long non-coding RNA is filed under the name Elaeis guineensis (African oil palm). Its description in RNAcentral is "long non-coding RNA (EGUI_LNC022729)". The record is from RNAcentral. Lineage: Eukaryota; Viridiplantae; Streptophyta; Magnoliopsida; Arecales; Arecaceae.